UAACACGUAAGUAAUCUACCUUUGAGUGGGGAAUAACAGUCGGAAACGACUGCUAAUACCGCAUAAUGCAGCGGCAUCGCAAGAUGACAGUUGUUAAAGAUUUAUCGCUUGAAGAGGAGCUUGCGGCAGAUUAGCUAGUUGGUAAGGUAAUGGCUUACCAAGGCUACGAUCUGUAACCGGUCUAAGAGGACGGUCGGUCACACUGACACUGAAUAACGGGUCAG
Molecule: ribosomal RNA, 224 nt
Filed under: uncultured bacterium
Lineage: Bacteria
Description: partial 16S ribosomal RNA
Rfam family: Bacterial small subunit ribosomal RNA
Source: RNAcentral